CAGCAGCCGCGGGAAUACGUAGGUGGCAAGCGUUGUCCGGAAUUAUUGGGCGUAAAGGGCUCGCAGGCGGUUUCUUAAGUCUGAUGUGAAAGCCCCCGGCUCAACCGGGGAGGGUCAUUGGAAACUGGGAAACUUGAGUGCAGAAGAGGAGAGUGGAAUUCCACGUGUAGCGGUGAAAUGCGUAGAGAUGUGGAGGAACACCAGUGGCGAAGGCGACUCUCUGGCCUGUAACUGACGCUGAGGAGCGAAAGCGUGGGGAGCGAACAGGAUUAGAUACCCCUGUAGUCCCUGUCUCUUAUAA
Molecule: ribosomal RNA, 301 nt
Filed under: uncultured bacterium
Lineage: Bacteria
Description: partial 16S ribosomal RNA
Rfam family: Bacterial small subunit ribosomal RNA
Source: RNAcentral